AUUAGACGAAUCAUCUGGAAAGAUGAAUCAAAGAAGGUAAUAAUCCUGUAGUCGAAAAUGUUGUCUCUCUUGAGUGGAUCCUGAGUACGACGGAGCACGUGAAAUUCCGUCGGAAUCUGGGAGGACCAUCUCCUAAGGCUAAAUACUCUCUAGUGACCGAUAGUGAACCAGUACCGUGAGGGAAAGGUGAAAAGCACCCCGGAAGGGGAGUGAAAUAGAACCUGAAACCGUGUGCUUACAAGUAGUCAGAGCCCGUUAAUGGGUGAUGGCGUGCCUUUUGUAGAAUGAACCGGCGAGUUACGAUUUGAUGCAAGGUUAAGCAGUAAAUGUGGAGCCGUAGCGAAAGCGAGUCUGAAUAGGGCGUUUAGUAUUUGGUCGUAGACCCGAAACCAGGUGAUCUACCCUUGGUCAGGUUGAAGUUCAGGUAACACUGAAUGGAGGACCGAACCGACUUACGUUGAAAAGUGAGCGGAUGAACUGAGGGUAGCGGAGAAAUUCCAAUCGAACCUGGAGAUAGCUGGUUCUCUCCGAAAUAGCUUUAGGGCUAGCCUCAAGUGAUGAUUAUUGGAGGUAGAGCACUGUUUGGACGAGGGGCCCCUCUCGGGUUACCGAAUUCAGACAAACUCCGAAUGCCAAUUAAUUUAACUUGGGAGUCAGAACAUGGGUGAUAAGGUCCGUGUUCGAAAGGGAAACAGCCCAGACCACCAGCUAAGGUCCCAAAAUAUAUGUUAAGUGGAAAAGGAUGUGGCGUUGCCCAGACAACUAGGAUGUUGGCUUAGAAGCAGCCAUCAUUUAAAGAGUGCGUAAUAGCUCACUAGUCGAGUGACACUGCGCCGAAAAUGUACCGGGGCUAAACAUAUUACCGAAGCUGUGGAUUGUCCUUUGGACAAUGGUAGGAGAGCGUUCUAAGGGCGUUGAAGCAUGAUCGUAAGGACAUGUGGAGCGCUUAGAAGUGAGAAUGCCGGUGUGAGUAGCGAAAGACGGGUGAGAAUCCCGUCCACCGAUUGACUAAGGUUUCCAGAGGAAGGCUCGUCCGCUCUGGGUUAGUCGGGUCCUAAGCUGAGGCCGACAGGC
RNAcentral lists this ribosomal RNA (1074 nucleotides) under Staphylococcus aureus. RNAcentral describes it as "partial 23S ribosomal RNA". It matches the Rfam family "Bacterial large subunit ribosomal RNA", at positions 328 to 1410 of the family's 2925-position model. Lineage: Bacteria; Bacillati; Bacillota; Bacilli; Caryophanales; Staphylococcaceae. The record is from RNAcentral.